UACGGAGGGUGCGAGCGUUGUCCGGAUUCAUUGGGCGUAAAGGGUGCGUAGGUGGCGCCGUAAGUCGGGUGUGAAAUUUCGGAGCUUAACUCCGAAACUGCAUUCGAUACUGCGGUGCUUGAGGACUGGAGAGGAGACUGGAAUUCAUGGUGUAGCAGUGAAAUGCGUAGAGAUCAUGAGGAAGACCAGUGGCGAAGGCGGGUCUCUGGACAGUUCCUGACACUGAGGCACGAAGGCCAGGGGAGCAAACGGG
RNAcentral lists this ribosomal RNA (253 nucleotides) under uncultured bacterium. RNAcentral's name for it is "partial 16S ribosomal RNA". It matches the Rfam family "Bacterial small subunit ribosomal RNA", at positions 524 to 776 of the family's 1533-position model. The record is from RNAcentral.